Molecule: ribosomal RNA, 311 nt
Filed under: uncultured eukaryote
Lineage: Eukaryota
Description: partial 18S ribosomal RNA
Rfam family: Eukaryotic small subunit ribosomal RNA
Source: RNAcentral
CCCCUAGACGUUCUGGGCUGCACGCGCGCUACAAUAAUACGCACAGCGAGUAUCACCGAGCUCGAAAGGGCAAGGUAAACAAUAGAAAAGGUACUGUAAUGGUUAUAGAUCCUUGUAAUUAUUGAUCUUCAACGAGGAAUUCCUAGUAAGUAUGUGUCAUCACCACGCACUGAUUACGUCCCUGCCCUUUGUACACACCGCCCGUCGCUCCUACCGAUUGGGUGAGCCGAUGAAACUCUCGGAUGUAGGCUAUUCAUAGCCCGCAGAAGAGAUUUGAAUCGUAGCGCUUAGAGGAAGGAGAAGUCGUAACA